This 73-nucleotide transfer RNA is filed under the name bacterium. RNAcentral describes it as "tRNA-Lys". It matches the Rfam family "tRNA". From Rfam's summary of the family: Transfer RNA (tRNA) molecules are approximately 80 nucleotides in length. Their secondary structure includes four short double-helical elements and three loops (D, anti-codon, and T loops). Further hydrogen bonds mediate the characteristic L-shaped molecular structure. tRNAs have two regions of fundamental functional importance: the anti-codon, which is responsible for specific mRNA codon recognition, and the 3' end, to which the tRNAs corresponding amino acid is attached (by aminoacyl-tRNA synthetases). tRNAs cope with the degeneracy of the genetic code in two manners: having more than one tRNA (with a specific anti-codon) for a particular amino acid; and 'wobble' base-pairing, i.e. permitting non-standard base-pairing at the 3rd anti-codon position. RNAcentral also lists the same sequence under 4 other names. The record is from RNAcentral.
GGGCCGUUAGCUCAAUUGGCAGAGCAACUGACUCUUAAUCAGUAGGUUGAAGGUUCGAUUCCUUCACGGCUCA